ACAAAGACCUGGGUGUAGAAGGCAGCGUCUGACGUGCUGCGAUUUGCAUAAGCGCCGAUAUAACAACUCCGGCGCGCAGCCAACUCUCCUCAGUCUAGAGUGAGCGCCGUUUAAGUUUGUGUUGGAGUGUAGACGGACGGAUAGUUGGGACAAUGGCUGAUGAGAAACCCAAGGAACUUGAGGAAGGCUUGCAGCAGGAGAUCACUUCAUUCACGAAGGAUAAACUUAAAGAAACACAGACCACAGUGAGAGUCUUCAUGCCAGACGCAGCCACAAUUGAAGCAGAAAAACAGGCGGAUAAAGAAGCGGCAAAAUGAAAGUGACCUUUCUUUCCUGAUUUUUUUGCACUGUACAUUCCACAAGCAUUGCCUUCUAGCUAUGUAUUUCCUUUUCAAAAAAAACUUUGGAUAUUGAGUGAACUGGUUGGCUCCUACUCCCAUCAAUCUCCCUCCUAUUCCCAUCUAUCCUUUUCUACCCCAAAAUCUACCUUCUCCCACUUGCCCCACCCCCCUUUUUUUUUUGAAAGAGGGCAGGGGCAGCAGGGGAAAUUAACUACUGACCGUAUGGCUGGCUUAGUACUUCUGAUGGCACUAAGAGCUUGCAUGUCUCGAGAGGUGCCUGGAAAAGACUGCAGGAACCUUUUAAUAACCAAAUGCAUGUGAAUGGAGUGAAGAUGUCAAGGACCUGUGUUCAGUUCAAUCGAAUCAACUAUGUAGAGUGCCAUUUUGUUAGGUCUCUUGGCAUGCACAGUAACUGAUUUUUGGUUUUUGUUUUGAUAUGCAAAUAAACAAACAUUUGAAAUUUACUCGAGUUUGUUUUUUUUCUUUUAAACACAUAGACUUGUGACUAGUCACUAAAUUCUAUUAGAAGAAACUGAAGGCCUGAUGUGAAGCUGUGUCUCUGACUUCAAAAUGCAAUGAUUGAUAUGUGCAGCACAUCUGACAGUAUUUGGAGAUAAAUAACUAAACAUAUUUGGGGUGGGGAAUGCUGCAGUAGUGUCCUGUUAUGGGUGAAUCAAUAGAUUGGUCACAAGUGAGUAUGCUUGGUCAUGUAUGAAAAUCCCCCAACUUGUUUGAAUGUGAUGUAGUAAUGUUGAAAGAAUCCAGUUAUUUUGCUCUCUAAAGCAACAGCAAAUUUAAAAACUAUUAAGCUCGCUAACAUUUUCUGAAUUGGAGCUGCUGAUGACAUUUUGAUUCAAAAUCCAUAUCCAACUAACUGAGCAGUAGUUAGCCCUUUUUGGCAGGGAGUUAUCUAGUCAAGCUAAUUUUGUGGGCCAUAAGUGCAAAGUACUAAAGUUUCAUGAUCUUGAUACUUGAACAAAUGGGUAUAGUGCCCAAAUCAAGGGAAAAAAUAAAAAAAAUUCAUCAGGUAAAGUGAUGGUAACAGCCAGAGUUGACAUUAUUUGACUUAAUCAAAGAAUUAUGCCUCUUGCUUUCAGAAGUACUUGCUUAAUAUGUAAAGUUUAACUCAACAUUACUUGAUUGCUGGAAUGUCCCUCUCCAAUUCUAUUCAAAGUAUUAUUCACUAAAUGGUGGCUUUCUUGCUCUCUAGGAUUUUAAUAUGACACUAACAGCAUCCCAAGUGAUUUAUUAUAACUUGCUGACUUGUAUCUGAUUUACUUGAACUUUAUGGAUGUAGCGCACUCAGCUAGUGAAUGCUUUGAUUAAAAGUUGCCUAUUAUUUGAACAGGAGUGUGAGCUAAAUAUGAUGGUUGGUAAUAUAAUUCAACUCCUCCAUGCCAUUUGUCAAUCUUUCAAGCUGAGUUUUGCAACAAAUUGUAAUCCUGCGCUCUAAGUUGUUAACUUGUCUUGGGGAAUCAGUAGUAUUUCCUUUUUAAAUGCAUUGCUUUAAACAAAUGUUGGAUACAUGAGCCUUUCUACCAGAGGAUAUGCAAGUAUGUGGGUCUGUUGCUCAAAUGUAGAGAUCUUAGUGUAGCAGUAAUGUUAAUGGUACCCUGCCUGUGGUUAUCUCCUACAACAGAUUUAGUUAUUGAUCUGAAAGUAUGAUUUUCUUUUCAAAUUCUGGCUAGGGGAAAAGGAACAGUAGUGGUGGAACCAUCAGAUGGAGACAAUAGGGGAGCCCACAGAAGUCUAUAGACCCAACAAGACCAAUCAACCACCAGCAUUGAGAUAUUUAUGCUUCUUUUGGGCAAGGAUGUCCUGA
Long non-coding RNA from Hemiscyllium ocellatum (epaulette shark), 2163 nucleotides. RefSeq lists it as uncharacterized. Lineage: Eukaryota; Metazoa; Chordata; Chondrichthyes; Orectolobiformes; Hemiscylliidae. The record is from RefSeq and is a predicted model, not a curated record. The transcript is spliced from 4 exons.